GAUGAACGCUGGCGGCGUGCUUAAUACAUGCAAGUCGAGCGAACGGACGCGAAGCUUGCUUUUUUGAUGUUAGCGGAGCACGGGUGUGUCACACGUGGAUCAUCUACCUAUAUUACUGGUAACACUUCGGGAAUCCGGCGCUUAUCCCGGAUGAUCUUUUGCUGCGUGUGGUUCAUAAGUGAAUGACGGUCUUGGUGUCUCUUCUCGAUGGUUCUGGGCUGCAUUAGCUAGUUGGUAAGGUAACGGCUUAUCAAGGCAACGAUGCAUAGCCGAACUGCGAGACGGACCGGCCGCACGGGAAGGGAGACGCGGUCCAGACUCCUACGAGAGGCAGCAGUAGGCAAUCGUCCGCAGUAGGCGGAAGCCUGGCGGAGCAACGCCACGUGAGUGAUGAAAGUCUUCGGAGCGUAAAACUCUGUUAUUAGGGAAGAACAGAUGUGUAAGGAACUGUGCACAGCGUGACGGUACCGAGUCAGAAAGCCACGGCUAACUACGUG
Molecule: ribosomal RNA, 497 nt
Filed under: uncultured bacterium
Lineage: Bacteria
Description: partial 16S ribosomal RNA
Rfam family: Bacterial small subunit ribosomal RNA
Source: RNAcentral